This is a long non-coding RNA of Sebastes umbrosus (honeycomb rockfish), 191 nucleotides long. RefSeq lists it as uncharacterized. The transcript has 3 exons. The record is from RefSeq and is a predicted model, not a curated record. NCBI's taxonomy places the organism in Eukaryota, Metazoa, Chordata, Actinopteri, Perciformes, Sebastidae.
CACCCAUCCGCCCCGACCUCCUCCCUACACAGGCUGCUCUCAUACACCGUUAACAGCUAUACCUACGAAACGUAAUGCACUGUAAUUCGUAUAUAUCCCAUGAAAUCAAUUCGUAUGUAAUCGAUGUAAUAGUGAACCAGUAGUUUGCCCAGGACACGGCUGUUCAUACCCCGUGUGAAACCACAGGUCAA